AUUUCUUUCAGUAUAUACUGCCACAUGAAAAUGAAAAGCUUUCGCAAGUUGAAUUAUUGGUUAUUGAUGAAGCAGCUGCUAUUCCACUACCUAUGGUGAAGUCUUUGCUUGGCCCAUAUCUGGUCUUCCUGUCUUCUACUGUUAAUGGGUAUGGAUAGUGUUUGCCUUUGGCGAAACCUUCUAUAUUUCAAUUUUUAGUGAUAAAUCAUCAAUUCUUUUGAUUAUCCCUUUCAUUCCUCUUAAGUCAAGUUUAAUGUAUCAAUUUGUUCAUUUUGCUCUUGCAAAGUUAUGAAGGAACUGGACGCUCGUUAUCACUAAAACUUGUGCAGCAACUGCAAGAGCAAAGCCAUAUAUCUGCAAAGAGCCCAGAGGGCACCGGUACAAUGCUUUUGACUGCUUUCACAAGUUGAAUUGUUGGUUAUUGAUGAAGCAGCUGCUAUUCCACUACCUAUGGUGAAGUAUUUGCUUGGCCAAUAUUUGGUCUUCUUGUCUUCUACUGUUAAUGGGUAUGGAUAGUGUUUGCCUUUGACGAAACCUCCUUCUAUAUAUAUCAAUUUUUAGUGAUAAAUUAUCAAUUCUUUUGAUUACCCCUUUCGUUCCUCUUAGGUCAAGUUUAAUGUAUCAAUUUGUUCAUUUUGCUCUUGCAAAG
Molecule: long non-coding RNA, 649 nt
Filed under: Cicer arietinum (chickpea)
Lineage: Eukaryota; Viridiplantae; Streptophyta; Magnoliopsida; Fabales; Fabaceae
Description: long non-coding RNA (CARI_LNC001753)
Source: RNAcentral